UUAAAAAUACAUAUGCAUCAUUGCAUAGCAAUAAUGCAUAAUUACAACAAUUUAACGGCGCCCACCUGUACAAGUUCCGCUACCAGAAGGACGCUUAUUUGUUGGCCCACUACCUCUCGCCCAAUCCCUAGCUUUAGAUACGGAAUUUCGAUUAGUAAUAUGUUUACCUACAUGUUUUGUUCUAUUUGCCACGUUUCCACCGGAAACUUGGUCUAAUUGUUCAGAUAUAAUUUCUUUCAUAACCAUGCUCCAUUAUGAUUUAAUUUUUAUGACAGUAGUUUACUGUCAAGCUUUAUUCUCUAUGAAUUAAGCUAUCUAAGACAAUAUGGAUAAAACGCACAUUUAGUUGCGA
RNAcentral lists this unclassified non-coding RNA (352 nucleotides) under Aliivibrio wodanis. Its description in RNAcentral is "putative sRNA". The record is from RNAcentral. Lineage: Bacteria; Pseudomonadati; Pseudomonadota; Gammaproteobacteria; Vibrionales; Vibrionaceae.